This 74-nucleotide transfer RNA is filed under the name Wolfiporia cocos. RNAcentral describes it as "tRNA-Asp". It matches the Rfam family "tRNA". Rfam says of the family: Transfer RNA (tRNA) molecules are approximately 80 nucleotides in length. Lineage: Eukaryota; Fungi; Basidiomycota; Agaricomycetes; Polyporales; Phaeolaceae. The record is from RNAcentral.
GAGCCUUUUGCUUAAUUGGUAGAGCACCCAAUUGUCGUUUGGGAGAAGUACCGGUUCGAAUCCGGUAAGGCUCG